This 326-nucleotide ribosomal RNA is filed under the name uncultured eukaryote. RNAcentral's name for it is "partial 18S ribosomal RNA". It matches the Rfam family "Eukaryotic small subunit ribosomal RNA", at positions 1470 to 1796 of the family's 1831-position model. The record is from RNAcentral.
CCCUUAGAUGUUCUGGGCCGCACGCGCGCUACACUGAAGGGAUCAGCGUGUUUUCCCUUUCCGAGAGGAACGGGUAACCCGCUGAACCCCCUUCGUGGUAGGGAUCGGAGCUUGCAAUUGUUCUCCGUGAACCAGGAAUUCCCAGUAAGCGCAAGUCAUAAGCUUGCGUUGAUUACGUCCCUGCCCUUUGUACACACCGCCCGUCGCUACUACCGAUUGAACGUUUUAGUGAGGUAUUUGGACUGGGCCUUGGGAGGUUUCGGCCUCCCUUGUUGCUCGGAAAGACUCCCAAACUUGUGCGUUUAGAGGAAGUAAAAGUCGUAACA